GUCAGAUAGUUCUAAGAAGUUAUUUGCGGGCAAUUUGAAUCCAUAGAGUUUCAGAGACAGAACUGUGGCUUUUGAUAGGAAAAGAGAUUGUCAACUUGCUGGUCAAUGGACUAGUAGCAGCUGCACGAUGUUAAGUGUGUUGUUUUAGAAAAUCCAUUGCAGAAUAGAGCCUGGACCUACACGUGAUGAUGCCGACAGUACAGACACUUCAACUGAUGACCAGCAGUGCACAACGUCAUCUCUCCUGUCCACCAGCACCUCAUCUCAACCCGGGCCCAUCCUCCAGAAAACCAACUCACCGGCUGAUUUAUCCACACUUGAUGAACCUCCUGCAAUUUACAACGCAGAGCCAAGACAUCUACAUCUUCUACUUAAGAUGAUUUGUUUGGGCUACAAAAACAGUCAAAUUGUGAUGUGUCUGACAGGAGCCAGAUGUUAGUCUGCUGCUGCCACAGAUUCUGUGCAGAUUUUCCACAACACACACAUCAAUUAUUUAUCUUACUUUAUUGUUCUGUUAUUGUUCUCUUCAUUGUUUAUUUUAUUAGUGAAUGGAUUUUGUUGUAUUCAUGAAACUGUUGUCUAACAAUA
This is a long non-coding RNA of Ictalurus punctatus (channel catfish), 588 nucleotides long. RefSeq lists it as uncharacterized. NCBI's taxonomy places the organism in Eukaryota, Metazoa, Chordata, Actinopteri, Siluriformes, Ictaluridae. The transcript is spliced from 4 exons. The record is from RefSeq and is a predicted model, not a curated record.